GGUUUGAUUCUGGCUCCAGAUUGAACGCUGGCAGGAUGCUUUACACAUGCCCAAGUCCGGGCAGCGGCACGGACUUCGGUCUACGGUGGCGAGUGGCGAACGGGUGAGUAAUGUAUCGGAACGUGCCUAGUGGCGGGGGAUAACUACGCGGCGUAGCUAAUACCGCAUACGCCCUUCGGGGAAAGCGGGGGACCUUCGGGCCUCGCACUAUUAGAGCGGCCGAUAUCAGUUAGCUGAUUGGUGGGGUAACGUACCAAGGCGACGAUCCGUAGCUGGUUUGAGAGGACGACCAGCCACACUGGGACUGAGACACGGCCCAGACUCCUACGGGAGAGCAGCAGUGGGGAAUUUUGGACAAUGGAAACACAGUCCAGCCAUCCCGCGUGUGCGAUGAAGGCCUUCGGGUUUGGCGGGAAAGAAACGGCACGGGAUAAUACGUGCAACUGACGUACCGCAGAACAAGCACCGGCUAACUACGUGCCAGCAGCCGCUGCGGUAAUACGUAGGGUGCAAAGCGUUAAUCGAGUUACUGGGCGUAAAGCGUGCGCAGGCGGUUCGGAAAGAAGAUGUGAAAUCCCAGAGCAACUUUGGAACUGCAUUUUUAACUACCGAGCUAGAGUGUGUCAGAGGGAGGUGGAAUUCCGCGUGUAGCAGUGAAAUGCGUAGAUAUGCGGAGGAACACCGAUAGUGAAGGCGGCCUCCUGGGAUAACACUGACGCUCAUGCACGAAAGCGUGGGGGAGCAAACAGGAUUAGAUACCUGGUAGUCCACGCCUAAACGAUGCCAACUAGCUGUUGGGGCCUUCGGGCAACCCAGUAGCGCAAUAACACUUUGUCAGAGAAGUUGACCGCCUGGGGAGUACGGUCGCAAGAUUAAAACUCAAAGGAAUUGACGGGGACCCGCACAAGCGGUGGAUGAUGUGGAUUAAUUCGAUGCAACGCGAAAAACCUUACCUACCCUUGACAUGUCUGGAAUCCCGAAGAGAUUUGGGAGUGCUCGCAAGAGAACCGGAACACAGGUGCUGCAUAGCUGUCGUCAGCUCGUGUCGUGAGAUGUUGGGUUAAGUCCCGCAACGAGCGCAACCCUUGUCAUUGAAUUGCUACGAAGGGCACUCUAAUGAGACUGCCGGUGACAAACCGGAGGAAGGUGGGGAUGACGUCAAGUCCUCAUGGCCCUUAUGGGUAGGGCUUCACACGUCAUACAAUGGUCGGGACAGAGGGUCGCCAACCCGCGAGGGGGAGCCAAUCCCAGAAACCCGAUCGUAGUCCGGAUCGCAGUCUGCAACUCGACUGCGUGAAGUCGGAAUCGCUAGUAAUCGCGGAUCAGCAUGUCGCGGUGAAUACGUUUUCCCGGGUCUUGUACACACCGCCCGUCACACCAUGGGAGUGGGUUUUACCAGAAGUAGUUAGCCUAACCGUAAGGAGGGCGAUUACCACGGUAGGAUUCAUGACUGGGGGUGAAGUCGUAACAAGGUAG
RNAcentral lists this ribosomal RNA (1476 nucleotides) under uncultured Bordetella sp. RNAcentral's name for it is "partial 16S-23S ribosomal RNA intergenic spacer". It matches the Rfam family "Bacterial small subunit ribosomal RNA". The record is from RNAcentral. Lineage: Bacteria; Pseudomonadati; Pseudomonadota; Betaproteobacteria; Burkholderiales; Alcaligenaceae.